AGGAAUCAAGGCUCAGGGCAGUUUCCCGACAGCCCUCAGGCCCAGGGCCAAGAUGGGCCUACUCUGUUACAUCUGCAGCCACACCUGCUCUUUACCCAGGACUCUGAAGGUAAUCGGGUUAUCAGGCACUAGUUUUAGACGUUUAUGUGAGUGUAUCUUGAAGUGGCAGAGCUGGAGGAAAGUGGGGUGGGGCUGGGUAAAGAUUUGUUUGGUGAAAGGCCAGGUGGGAUGAAGCAGUUGUCACUAUGGAACAUUUUCUGUAUAUAAAUAAAGCAGGCAGUGUGUGGUAGGCA
This 293-nucleotide long non-coding RNA is filed under the name Rattus norvegicus (Norway rat). RNAcentral describes it as "long non-coding RNA NONRATT022725". Lineage: Eukaryota; Metazoa; Chordata; Mammalia; Rodentia; Muridae. The record is from RNAcentral.